AGAGAGAGAGAGAGAGAGAGAGGGACGGAGAAGGUCAUACAUCUAUAGCAACAAUAAGAAUUGAUAAGACUAAAGAUACUACCCUCCCAAAUCCCAAUGUAAUCUCGUGAUAUAAAGCUAUGAAUAAUGCAUGUGUUAUCACGUGCUAGCUCAGGCCACCUAACUCAACUGACCGUCAUUACAAAAACCAAUCUAAACCACACUAUAUAAGAUAAAGGAAGCUCUGACCACUGACCAUGAUAUUGAUAUGGUUCUUUAUAAUAACUCCAUUGUCUUUCAUGACAGUACUGCUCAUAUUUGGAUUAGUUUUGGCUCUUAGGAAAAGAAACUUGAGACAGAAAAGGCGUCCAAUACAGGCAUCAAACAAUGAUUCUUCAAAGGCAUGCAUUGUUGCCUCAUUCAGUUAAAUAUAGAACAAUUAAUGAACAAAAUAAUAACAGGAAAUCACAGGUUGUUCGACAUUCCAAUCAUACUUGUAAAUAUUCAAAUUAAUUAUGUUCUUGUGCUGAUCAA
This is a long non-coding RNA of Amphimedon queenslandica, 513 nucleotides long. RefSeq lists it as uncharacterized. The transcript has 2 exons. NCBI's taxonomy places the organism in Eukaryota, Metazoa, Porifera, Demospongiae, Haplosclerida, Niphatidae. The record is from RefSeq and is a predicted model, not a curated record.